This is a non-coding RNA of Delphinapterus leucas (beluga whale), 4564 nucleotides long. The record is from RefSeq and is a predicted model, not a curated record. Lineage: Eukaryota; Metazoa; Chordata; Mammalia; Artiodactyla; Monodontidae.
CCCCGGGGCGGCCGUCAGCCUCCCGCAACCACGCCGAGCUAACUCGCGGCCGAGCCCGCCGCUUCCGCGCCCCUCGCCACCCCGCCCGCCCCGCUCACCGGCUCCUGCCCCAGUCCCCGGCUCCGCUAGCCGCAGCCAGAGCGAGACUCAGUCACUCCAGGACUGACAGAGGGCUCCAGAUUGACAGAGGGCUCACCAUCUUGUAGCUGUAUCACCCAGAACACAGCAACUGAGUCUCUGUGGCAGAGGAAGAAAAUUCUGUGGGUCAUGAGACAAGCAAACCUUAUGUGAAUCCUCAGCGGCAAGGUCUCUAACAAAGCUGCAAUCAAGGUGUCAGCUGGAGUCUCAUUUGAAGGCUUGACUGGGGAAUGUUGUCAGCAGAAUUUAGUUUCUCAAGGGCUGUUGGACUAAAAUCCUCAGUACUAGCUGACUGUUGGUCAGGGGCCAUCCUCAUUUCCUUGUGGCAUGGACCUCUCCAACAUGGCAGCUCAUUUCAUCAAAGCAUGCAAGCCAAGAAGGAAAUAGAGUCUACCAGCAAGAUAGAAAUCAGUCUUUGUAACCUAAUUUCAAAAGUGACAUCCCACCAUCUUUACCUCUGCUGUAUUCUUUGCAUUAGAAGCAAGUCACAGGUCUCACCUAGCCCAAGGAGAGGGGAUGACACAAAGGUCUGAACACCAGGAGGUGGGUAUCACUGUUGGUCAUCUUAGAGCCUGUCUGUCACAAAGCAGGUGGCUGGUAAUGCUCUCAUGGAUUCAGCUGAACAAUUCUGCCCCCUGGAGUCUGAUGCUUCAUCAUGUGCUCUCCUAGCCCCCAGAAAUUUAACUUGCCUGCUCCCCCUGCUAGUUCAGGAGCUCUUUAAGGGAAAGGCCUUUGUAUCUCUCAUCCUAUGUGAGUGUCCCUAGGGUAGGGCCUACUGACUCUCAGGUACUAAAUACACACUUGGUGGAUGACUGUGUGGGGAGCUGAGAUCAGAGCAGAGCCAUGGCCCCUGCCUGCAUGCCCAGCUCAGCCAGAGCAGGAGUUGAUGGUACUGAGGACAGACCAUGCAGGGCUGUACUCUGGGGUGUGCUGUUUCUUUAGAUGCUUCUGCAAAGCCCAUCUCUCCAGGAAACCUGGUUCUAUUAGCCUAACUAACUCCAGCCUCUAAUCUUUUCUAAACCACUUACUCAGGUUUCCCUGCCCUGAUACUGACAGUGUUUUCAGGCUUUGCUUUCCAGCUUAGAAUCAGAAUCAAGGAGGUUCCCUCUUCUUAAAUGCCUACCACUCCCCCCUCCCCUGCUCCCCACAAAAAUGUGAAUACCCACAGCAUGAUGUCCCAGCCCCUCAGCCCCAGACAAUGUAUGUUUUCAUACUGUUGCUACAGUGGUACUUCCCAGUGUUCUGAAUUUUCAAGGAAACUUGGAAAUCUGUACUUUUAUGUACACUUUUCCCAUUUUUAAAAUGUGUGCAAGUAAAACAAACACAUCUGCUGGCUGUAUUUGGCUUUGGUUAUAUUGUGUGUUUACACAAUGACUGCACUUUACUGUUGGAUCUUUGCAACUGGACCACAGUGGCUGCCACAGCGAGUGUUCCUGAACUGCUCAGCAAAUGGUCCUCCACAAAUGGCCACUGGGCUCACAUGCUCUUUGGGUGGGGAUGGGGGGUACCCACUCUGAAACUCUGCCAGAAAAGCAGCCACUGCUUUUGUUGCUGUCCUUUGGAGUGCCCCUGUGAGAGCGCCCCUUUGGGAGUGGUUGUGGUUUGCUGGUCCUCAGCACCAUCUUGGUAAAUUGUAGAACUGCUCAGCUUUCAGCAAAGUGAAUGAAGGAUUAGGAAGUCAGUUUCUGAAUCUCUGAGAAGCUGCACCGAAACAGCACUAACAGGUUUAUUUAGGUCCACACUCACAAACAAAUCAAAAUGUGUUUGAAUAAUUCAAAGUCCAAAAUGAGUUAAAAAUAGUGCUGGGGACAAAACAGCCAGCACAGCAAGUCCAUUAGCGGCUGAUCCACAUUAAUGACCUCUAAUGAGCUUGGCUGCCAACAGCAGGCGUUGGAAGUUGGGAGCUGCCAGAUGCCAUCACUGCACAGUCCCUCUGUACUGGCUUGGCCUCAGGACCAUGUACAACCAUCCAUGUCACUGUCAUUUCAAAGAGUAAGCAGCACUGACUUUCAGCCAGGCUAGGGAGACCUCUCUCAGAAUAUUUGAGCUAAUGCGGGCAAGAGAAAUUCUGGGGAUCAGAGUGGUGGGGCCAUUCUGCUUUGCUUGCUGACCUCAGGUGGGGUGAUGGACUUUUCUGGCAUAAAAAGAAAAAAACGAAUGGAAACCAAACUCUGGGACAAAGAAGAGUUUGGUUUUGGCAAUAGAAGCUGAUGGAGAGACCCCAUGACCAUGCUUCCCAAGUCAGUGGCAAUGAAAGAUCAGGUUUUUAUUUCACAUCAGUUGCAGACAAAUACUUUUGCAAAAUAAAAUAAAAAUUGAGUUAUGAGAAAAAUGAGAUUUUUUUAAAAGCCAUGCAAAAUACAAGCCCCCAAUUUUUUAUUAUUAGACUGAAUAGUCAUACUCUUUUACUCUGUCAAGUUGAUAUUGAGGUUUCUAAACUCUCCAACUUCAGUAUUUCAUCACAGUCACACUCGGGCAGGAGCAAACCACAAGGCUUACCCACCUCCGGGCUGUCCCACUUUGUGUUCUUGCUGGGCUGUUCCCCCUGCUGGGAAUUAUCCUUCCUCAUUCUGUCCUUCCCCACACCAAAUGAGUGCCCAUGAAUGUCCUCUCAGCCCAGAACUGUGCCCCUGAGUGUCCACAUCUGCCUCCUCCACUCACCCCCAAGGCUGCUGCUACAGCUGGGAUCCACUCCUCACCUGGGCACACCUAGCUCCUCCUGGCUGGGGCCAUGCCCUCCUCCUCUCCCUCCACAAGGAGGCUAAAGAGAUUAACUUCUUAAAACAUGUGUCUGAUUAUGUCACCUGCUGGCUAAAGUCCUUCAGCAGCUUGCAGGCAACUACAGUGUCGGUCCCAAGUACCCAGUUGUGGGCUGAGGCUUCCACAGACCUGGCUGCCUCCCUCCUGGCCCUAUCCCCAGCAUGCCUGGACAACACCAGGCCUCUUGCUGCACCUAAGUGGGCUCUGUCCUCCUGCCUUGAGCCCUCACUGUGCUGCUCCUCUGGCCUGGUCUCCCUUCCCCUCCCUCUUCUUCUGUCUCUGUAGGAUUUCAGACCCAAGGUCAGGUGCCCCCUCCUCUAAGAGGUCUUCCAUGACAUUGGAGGUGGAGCUGGUUAAACCUGGCUUCCUCACCCCCUGAGUGGGACAACUCCAAGACAUGUUCUACCAGCCUCUUUCUGAGCAGGCGGAGCCCAGGCCCUGGGGGUAAACCUGCCUGGUGUCCCCACUCCCUCUCGGGUUUCUGGGCAUUACCUUCCACACAAAAGAUCUGCUCUCAGGCUUUUUGUCUCAGGUCUGUUUCUGGGGACCCAUGACCAAAACUCACUGGUUGCUGCGCUCCUGUCACAGUCUAGUGCCAGAGGCAGGAAAAGUGCAUCAUUACAAGUGGUAACAAAGAGUCAGGAAAACACAUUGGGGUAGGAAAAGAGUAUUGCAUUGAGCUGUGUGGGUCAGAGAAGGCCUGCGAGACUAAGUGACAUUUACAAAUUUGCAAUGCCAUGUAACAGAGUGUCAGUAUCAGUAGAGGCGGUGUGGGGACUCAGAGGAGGAGGAGAGGCCAGACCUAUUUGGGGUCAGGAAAAGUUUCACAGAAACAGAUUGAGUUAAGUGGUGUCAAAUGUUGACAGCUGAGCAAAGCAGAAAUAGCCUGCAGUGGCGUGGCUGGCACAAGGGCUACCAUGAAAGCCACUGUCCGUGAGGCACAUCUCUGUGCCAGGCCCUGGGCUGUGUGUGUCACGUGCCUCACCUCACUAAAUGCCCACAGCAACUUUCUGGACCAUCCUCAGUUUACAGAAGAGGAAACCAAGGCUCUGUGCAGAGCCAGGGUGUGGAGUCAGGGGCAGAGAGACAGGAUGGAUCACAGCCAGCACUCUUCGUGACUCGAUUUAGAUUUGCUCAAGGUUCCUAGUGAGUCGACGCUGCACCAGGACCUUUGCUGGAUCAUUUGUACCUGGUGCUGUGUCCUAGGCUGAAUCUUUCUAGAUUAAGCAUUAAUAAUAUUUGUCUUAUGCAAAUGUGCUUGUGUUGGGUGAGAUGUGAAUAAUUUACGUGGCUGUGAAGGUGUCACACCAUAGAUGUUGGGGACAGAACGCUGCUCAUCUCCUUGCAGCGUCACUAUGGACAAGCAGCCCCAACAUGUUCCGAACUGAGAAAUGGCUGCCUUGGCCUCCCUGCCACCUGCUGCCAAGGAACAAAGAUGAAUGGGAGGCAGGGGGACAGGCAGAGGCAGAAGGAGUGGGCCCUGGGGCUUGAGUGGCACACAGGCAGAAGCAGUACCUCCACCCCGCGGUGCACUGCUCCAUCCCCACUCCCUCUCCAGGAAGGCUGGACCUCUUCUGCCCAGUCCUCCAGGAAGCUCCCGGACUCCAGCUUGCAGUGAUGGCUCUCUGCCUCUCCACCUCUCUACAUCUCUGUCUCUAUCACUAUU